RNAcentral lists this ribosomal RNA (466 nucleotides) under uncultured bacterium. RNAcentral describes it as "bacterial SSU rRNA". It matches the Rfam family "Bacterial small subunit ribosomal RNA", at positions 338 to 795 of the family's 1533-position model. The record is from RNAcentral.
CCUANGGGUGGCUGCAGUGAGGAAUCUUGCGCAAUGGGGGAAACCCUGACGCAGCAACGCCGCGUGAGUGAGGAAGGUCUUCGGAUCGUAAAGCUCUGUCAGAUGGAAAGAAAUGCAUGGGGGUUAACAGCCUUCAUGCUUGACGGUACCAUCAGAGGAAGCACCGGCUAACUCCGUGCCAGCAGCCGCGGUAAUACGGGGGGUGCAAGCGUUGUUCGGAAUCAUUGGGCGUAAAGAGCGUGUAGGCGGCUUGAUAAGUCAGAUGUGAAAGCCCUGGGCUUAACCCAGGAAGUGCAUUUGAAACUGUCAGGCUUGAGUAGGGGAGAGGGAAGUGGAAUUCCUGGUGUAGAGGUGAAAUUCGUAGAUAUCAGGAGGAACACCGGUGGCGAAGGCGACUUCCUGGCCCUAUACUGACGCUGAGACGCGAGAGCGUGGGUAGCAAACAGGAUUAGAUACCCUUNUANUC